UGGUCAUUGUAUCGACGGCUCGCAUGGUGUACCACGUCAAGCGACGUGGAGUGGUCCCGUACUUCUCCUACAUCGGCGUUCCUUGUCCAUCUUUCCGGAGCCCCUCCAACAAGAACUGGACCUGGUUACGCUGUGCAACCUGUCACCAGAGGCGAUGUUGGAGUGCAGGCAGCGAGUUCAGAAAUGGGUCGAGGUGAUCCAGUGCCCACAACGGGACACUCUCCCACCCGGGUCCUCCGGACAGUACGCCCAUGGACGUCUACAGGGCGGAAUUCUUUGAACAAACGAUGGCCCUGUGAAUCUGAAGAGCCUCACCCGCGACUUCUGUGCUGAGCCGUGUUCCUCCAAGGACUGCUGAAGACAGUGCCAACCUAUCCCUCCUUCUAAAGAACCACUUCAACCUCCCUGUAACAUAUUCUUUGCUGCUUCUUUUUUUUUGCUCCUCUAUUGUGCGACAUGUUUUUGUAUCUCUUCGUAAUUAACUCCUAUUUCUGUAUUCGCUGUAUUUUUG
Molecule: non-coding RNA, 511 nt
Organism: Dermacentor albipictus
Lineage: Eukaryota; Metazoa; Arthropoda; Arachnida; Ixodida; Ixodidae
Source: RefSeq, a predicted model, not a curated record